Molecule: ribosomal RNA, 441 nt
Filed under: uncultured Campylobacter sp.
Lineage: Bacteria; Pseudomonadati; Campylobacterota; Epsilonproteobacteria; Campylobacterales; Campylobacteraceae
Description: bacterial SSU rRNA
Rfam family: Bacterial small subunit ribosomal RNA
Source: RNAcentral
CCUACGGGGGACUGCAGUAGGGAAUAUUGCUCAAUGGGGGAAACCCUGAAGCAGCAACGCCGCGUGGAGGAUGACACUUUUCGGAGCGUAAACUCCUUUUGUUAGGGAAGAAUAAUGACGGUACCUAACGAAUAAGCACCGGCUAACUCCGUGCCAGCAGCCGCGGUAAUACGGAGGGUGCAAGCGUUACUCGGAAUCACUGGGCGUAAAGGACGCGUAGGCGGAUUAUCAAGUCUCUUGUGAAAUCCUAUGGCUUAACCAUAGAACUGCUUGGGAAACUGAUAAUCUAGAGUGAGGGAGAGGCAGAUGGAAUUGGUGGUGUAGGGGUAAAAUCCGUAGAGAUCACCAGGAAUACCCAUUGCGAAGGCGAUCUGCUGGAACUCAACUGACGCUAAUGCGGGAAAGCGUGGGGAGCAAACAGGAUUAGAUACCCGAGUAGUC